GCGCCCCUGCGUUGAGCGUCAGGCAACUUAUUGCCCGAGCCGAUAUUUGCUGAACGGGAGCUUAGCUAUUCUGGCCGUGAGUAUCCCCCAUUCCGGGAAACCUGACGUCAGGAUGCGGCGCCCACCUCAAUUGAGAGGGUUCGGCAUAUUUUUGCCACACGCCAGCGCGGGGGCGCC
RNAcentral lists this non-coding RNA (177 nucleotides) under Mariprofundaceae bacterium. RNAcentral describes it as "6S RNA". It matches the Rfam family "6S / SsrS RNA". Rfam says of the family: E. coli 6S RNA was the first non coding RNA to be sequenced, but its function was unknown until recently. It consists of 184 nucleotides that fold into an extended hairpin structure with a large single-stranded internal bulge. Lineage: Bacteria; Pseudomonadati; Pseudomonadota; Candidatius Mariprofundia; Mariprofundales; Mariprofundaceae. The record is from RNAcentral.